Molecule: non-coding RNA, 27 nt
Filed under: Homo sapiens (human)
Lineage: Eukaryota; Metazoa; Chordata; Mammalia; Primates; Hominidae
Source: RNAcentral
UGCGCGAGAUCUGUGGGUGUACAUAAA